RNAcentral lists this ribosomal RNA (222 nucleotides) under Salarias fasciatus (jewelled blenny). RNAcentral describes it as "partial 16S ribosomal RNA". Lineage: Eukaryota; Metazoa; Chordata; Actinopteri; Blenniiformes; Blenniidae. The record is from RNAcentral.
GCCCAGCAGCUAGCCUAACCAACAAACCUAAAGCCCCGACAUUAAUAAACCCGAAGAAUCGCACAACAAUAUAUUAAAACAUUUUAUUGCUGAAGUAUGGGCGACAGAAACAGAAAAUAGAGCAACAGACAAAGUACCGCAAGGGAAUGCUGAAAUAGAAAUGAAAAAAAUCAGUUAAGCACAGAAAAGCAGAGACUUACUCUCGUACCUUUUGCAUCAUGA